AGGCUUAACACAUGCAAGUCGAGCGCCCCGCAAGGGGAGCGGCAGACGGGUGAGUAACGCGUGGGAAUCUACCCUUGACUACGGAAUAACGCAGGGAAACUUGUGCUAAUACCGUAUGUGUCCUUCGGGAGAAAGAUUUAUCGGUCAAGGAUGAGCCCGCGUUGGAUUAGCUAGUUGGUGGGGUAAAGGCCUACCAAGGCGACGAUCCAUAGCUGGUCUGAGAGGAUGAUCAGCCACAUUGGGACUGAGACACGGCCCAA
RNAcentral lists this ribosomal RNA (260 nucleotides) under Rhizobium leguminosarum. RNAcentral's name for it is "partial 16S ribosomal RNA". It matches the Rfam family "Bacterial small subunit ribosomal RNA", at positions 46 to 334 of the family's 1533-position model. RNAcentral also lists the same sequence under 2 other names. The record is from RNAcentral. Lineage: Bacteria; Pseudomonadati; Pseudomonadota; Alphaproteobacteria; Hyphomicrobiales; Rhizobiaceae.